This 121-nucleotide long non-coding RNA is filed under the name Anas platyrhynchos platyrhynchos (common mallard). RNAcentral describes it as "lncRNA (ENSAPLG00000020388.1)". Lineage: Eukaryota; Metazoa; Chordata; Aves; Anseriformes; Anatidae. The record is from RNAcentral.
GGCCCUUUACACAAAGGGCGUCUCAGAUCCUCCAGGCAAUCUGAGAAAGGAUAUAAAUACACUUUCCGUGCAAGGUUCUUCUCACUACUUCUCUUGACUUGUUCUCUGCGGUACACUGAGA